This 900-nucleotide ribosomal RNA is filed under the name Fomitopsis angusta. Its description in RNAcentral is "partial 28S ribosomal RNA". It matches the Rfam family "Eukaryotic large subunit ribosomal RNA", at positions 40 to 926 of the family's 3401-position model. Lineage: Eukaryota; Fungi; Basidiomycota; Agaricomycetes; Polyporales; Fomitopsidaceae. The record is from RNAcentral.
AUAUCAAUAAGCGGAGGAAAAGAAACUAACAAGGAUUCCCCUAGUAACUGCGAGUGAAGCGGGAAAAGCUCAAAUUUAAAAUCUGGCGGUCUUCGGCCGUCCGAGUUGUAGUCUGGAGAAGUGCUUUCCGCGCUGGACCGUGUACAAGUCUCUUGGAACAGAGCGUCAUAGAGGGUGAGAAUCCCGUCUUUGACACGGACUACCAGUGCUUUGUGAUGCGCUCUCAAAGAGUCGAGUUGUUUGGGAAUGCAGCUCAAAAUGGGUGGUAAAUUCCAUCUAAAGCUAAAUAUUGGCGAGAGACCGAUAGCGAACAAGUACCGUGAGGGAAAGAUGAAAAGCACUUUGGAAAGAGAGUUAAACAGUACGUGAAAUUGCUGAAAGGGAAACGAUUGAAGUCAGUCGCGUUAGCCAGGACUCAGCCUUGUUUUUACUUGGUGCAUUUUCUGGUUGACGGGCCAGCAUCGAUUUUGACUGCCGGAAAAAGAUUGGGGGAAUGUGGCACCUUCGGGUGUGUUAUAGCCCUCAGUCACAUACGGCGAUUGGGAUCGAGGACCGCAGCACGCCUUUAUGGCCGGGGUUCGCCCACGUUCGUGCUUAGGAUGCUGGCGUAAUGGCUUUAAACGACCCGUCUUGAAACACGGACCAAGGAGUCUAACAUGCCUGCGAGUGUUUGGGUGGAAAACCCGAGCGCGUAAUGAAAGUGAAAGUUGAGAUCCCUGUCGCGGGGAGCAUCGACGCCCGGACUUGAACUUCGGUGAUAGAUCUGCGGUAGAGCAUGUAUGUUGGGACCCGAAAGAUGGUGAACUAUGCCUGAAUAGGGUGAAGCCAGAGGAAACUCUGGUGGAGGCUCGUAGCGAUUCUGACGUGCAAAUCGAUCGUCAAAUUUGGGUAUAGGGGCGA